AGGCAUGCACCACCACACCCGGCUAAUUUUGUAUAUUUAGUAGAGACAGGGUUUCUCCAUGUUGGUCAGGUUGGUCUCGAACUCCCGACCUCAGGUGAUCCGCCCGCCUCUACCUCCCAAACUGCUGAGAUUACAGGCGUGAGCCACAGCGCCUGGCUCAGGAGAUUUCCUACAGCUCAAAAUUUGUAAGGCAAAGAGAUGACCACAGGUCUUGUGAGAGUGGCGAGCGACCUCGGCUCUCUUAGUCCCGCCUGGCCCACCAGGCACUGCACAGUACGGUAGAGGCCCCGCCCGACCCAGCCCUUGAAUCGGCCUGUUGCAAUCACUAUCAACCCGCCAAUUCUGGCCCCUCCCCUGUCUUCCGGGUUCACUCACUUCCUGCCGGGCCCAGGCUCAGGCCCCGCCUCCGUCUUGUUUGGAGGAAUCCAAUCGAACCUGGAGGGCUGCGCUCCGCCCUAUGCCUCGCCCGCCUCUUCCAGGAGCAAUCAGAAUCAACUCAGGCCCCGCCCCCGCUUCGGUCCGCCGAGACCACGCCCCUUCGGCGCAAUCAGGCCGUCUGCUGGCCCCGCCCCCUAAAGCCCCGCCCUGUCGAAUCUUAUCCCUGCGCUGCUUCUGCGGCUGCAUCUUCCAGACUCCGCCCCGCGCGCGGAGCUGCAGCCAUGGCAGUCACCGCCCAGGGAGCCCGCAGGAAGGAGCGGGUCCUCUGCCUGUUUGACGUGGACGGGACCCUCACGCCGGCUCGCCAGAAAAUUGACCCUGAGGUGGCCGCCUUCCUGCAGAAGCUGCGAAGUAGAGUGCAGAUCGGUGUGGUGGGCGGCUCUGACUACUCUAAGAUCGCUGAGCAGCUGGGUGACGGCGAUGAAGUCAUUGAGAAGUUUGAUUAUGUGUUUGCUGAGAACGGGACAGUGCAAUAUAAGCACGGACGACUGCUCUCCAAGCAGACCAUCCAGAACCACCUGGGGGAGGAGCUGUUGCAGGACUUGAUCAACUUCUGCCUCAGCUACAUGGCCCUGCUCAGGCUGCCCAAGAAGCGUGGAACCUUCAUUGAGUUCCGGAAUGGCAUGCUGAACAUCUCGCCCAUCGGCCGGAGCUGCACCCUGGAGGAACGGAUCGAGUUCUCCGAACUGGACAAGAAAGAGAAGAUCCGGGAGAAGUUCGUGGAAGCCCUGAAAACAGAGUUUGCCGGCAAAGGGCUGAGGUUCUCCCGAGGAGGCAUGAUCAGCUUUGACGUCUUCCCCGAGGGCUGGGACAAGCGCUACUGCCUGGAUAGCCUGGACCAGGACAGCUUCGACACCAUCCACUUCUUUGGGAACGAGACCAGCCCUGGUGGGAACGACUUUGAGAUCUUUGCUGACCCCCGGACUGUUGGCCACAGCGUGGUGUCUCCUCAGGACACAGUGCAGCGAUGCCGGGAGAUUUUCUUCCCAGAGACAGCCCAUGAGGCGUGACCGGGGCCCACAUCUGUGCGUUGUGACUUCUGAAGAGUUUGGCCUAGGCCUAAAGAGAGGUCCUGGUGUUGGAUAGAUGCCAGGGCCCCUCCUCUGGCCCAGGACGCCUGCUGCAAGGCCCACCCGAAUGGGGCCAGAGUCUGUGUGGACAACCGACCCUAGCCAGUCAGCUCCUAGUGGCACUGGCUCCGUCCUCGCAGAGCCCAGAGUGUUCCCCAUGCUCCACCUGGUGGCUGAGGCCACAGCUGCUGCUUGUAUUCCAGUACAGAACAGGUUUCUGCGCCAGGAGGAGGCGUGCACAAGUGUCGGUACGAGAUCUAGCCUGCCCUGCUUGCCUGUCCUGGACAGUGGGGUAUGGUGGCGUAGGUGCCUAUUCCCUGGACAGUGGGGUGUGGUGACGUAGGUGCCUAUUCCCUGGACGGUGGGGUAUGGUGGUGCAGGCGCCUAUUCCCCGGAUGGUGGGGUGUGGUGACGUAGGUGCCUAUUCCCUGGAUGGUGGGGUAUGGUGACAUAGGCGCCUGUUCCCUGGACGGUGGGGUAUGGUGACAUAGGCGCCUGUUCCUGGACGGUGGGGUAUGGUGGUGCAGGUGCCUAUUCCCUGGACAGUGGGGUAUGGUGGCGCAGGUGCCUAUUCCCUGGACGGUGGGGUAUGGUGACAUAGGCGCCUGUUCCUGGACGGUGGGUUAUGGUGGUGCAGGUGCCUAUUCCCUGGACGGUGGGGUAUGGUGGCGCAGGCGCCUAUUUUAGAGAACUUUGUCACAGUAUUAAAUUUCCCAGAACAAA
Molecule: RNA transcript, 2231 nt
Organism: Macaca mulatta (Rhesus monkey)
Lineage: Eukaryota; Metazoa; Chordata; Mammalia; Primates; Cercopithecidae
Gene: PMM1
Gene name: phosphomannomutase 1
Source: RefSeq, a predicted model, not a curated record